Molecule: unclassified non-coding RNA, 256 nt
Filed under: Hevea brasiliensis (rubber tree)
Lineage: Eukaryota; Viridiplantae; Streptophyta; Magnoliopsida; Malpighiales; Euphorbiaceae
Source: RNAcentral
UAGAGAAGGGCGGUGGUCUAAGUGGUGAGCAUGUGGCCUUGGGUUUUGAGAGUUUAAAUUUGCAUAUUUUGAGGUAUUGAGUCGGUUGGGUUGUAUAUCUUGGACUGGACUUUUGUGGUUGUUUGUAGUUAAGCUUACAGCAAGAACCAAUAAAGAAGCCAAAUCUCCUUUAAAUCUUGUCAAGUCUGGAAGUAUAGGUACUUCCAGGUCCUUUCCUUGGCAUUGUCCUCUUAAUUACUGCAAGUUUAGAUUUGGG